This 408-nucleotide ribosomal RNA is filed under the name uncultured bacterium. RNAcentral describes it as "partial 16S ribosomal RNA". It matches the Rfam family "Bacterial small subunit ribosomal RNA", at positions 30 to 526 of the family's 1533-position model. The record is from RNAcentral.
AUUGAACGCUGGCGGCGUGCCUAAUACAUGCACGUCGAGCGAAGCGGCGGAUGGGUGAGUAACGCGUGGGUAACCUGCCCUUAAGUCUGGGAUACCAUUUGGAAACAGAUGCUAAUACCGGAUACUAACGGAUGGACAGGGGAUGCAUUAGCUAGUUGGUAAGGUAACGGCUUACCAAGGCGAUGAUGCAUAGCCGAGUUGAUAGACUGAUCGGGCACAUUGGGAUUGCGACACGGCCCAAACUCCUACGGGAGGCAGCAGUAGGGAAUCUUCCAAAAUGGACGAAAGUCUGAGGGAGCAACGCCGCGUGAGUGAAGAAGGUUUUCGGAUCGUAAAGCUCUGUUGUUGGUGAAGCGGUAAUCAACCAGAAAGUCACGGCUAACUACGUGCCAGCAGCCGCGGUAAUAC